This 497-nucleotide ribosomal RNA is filed under the name uncultured bacterium. Its description in RNAcentral is "partial 16S ribosomal RNA". It matches the Rfam family "Bacterial small subunit ribosomal RNA", at positions 28 to 507 of the family's 1533-position model. The record is from RNAcentral.
GAUGAACGCUGGCGGCGUGCCUAAUACAUGCAAGUCGAGCGAACGGACGAGAAGCUUGCUUCUCUGAUGUUAGCGGCGGACGGGUGAGUAACACGUGGAUAACCUACCUAUAAGACUGGGAUAACUUCGGGAAACCGGAGCUAAUACCGGAUAAUAUUUUGAACCGCAUGGUUCAAAAGUGAAAGACGGUCUUGCUGUCACUUAUAGAUGGAUCCGCGCUGCAUUAGCUAGUUGGUAAGGUAACGGCUUACCAAGGCAACGAUGCAUAGCCGACCUGAGAGGGUGAUCGGCCACACUGGAACUGAGACACGGUCCAGACUCCUACGGGAGGCAGCAGUAGGGAAUCUUCCGCAAAGGGCGAAAGCCUGACGGAGCAACGCCGCGUGAGUGAUGAAGGUCUUCGGAUCGUAAAACUCUGCUAUUAGGGAAGAACAUAUGUGUAAGUAACUGUGUACAUCUUGACGGUACCUAAUCAGAAAGCCACGGCUAACUACGUG